Molecule: long non-coding RNA, 1075 nt
Filed under: Notechis scutatus (mainland tiger snake)
Lineage: Eukaryota; Metazoa; Chordata; Lepidosauria; Squamata; Elapidae
Description: lncRNA (ENSNSUG00000002007.1)
Source: RNAcentral
CCAGCUGGGGAGGAGAUAUGCGACUCUCCUUGACCCUGCUGGCAGUCUCCCCCCUCUUCACCACCUCUAAGGGGUGGCUUAGCCCCAAAACCAGUGGCUCGGGGCGCUCCAGUGGCGAGCACAGAUCAAAACCGCGCAUGAUUGCAGAUUUCGGUCUGUCGCCGAAGAAGCUCAAACUGGACAACAAGGUCUUUCUUGUUUGAAGGAACAAAAGAAAAAUCUGCCGGCUUGUACUGAUAAACAGUUUGCAUGGGUAUUUUUUAAUUUACAUUCUCAUGUUUGCUAAUUAUCUGCCACAUUGCACCUUAAGUUUCUCAAUAUUAGAAAGAGUAAUAGGUUACCUAUUCUUUUCAUGGUGUGGUUGAGUAUUCUUUUUAUUCGCUUAUGGUUAGGAAAGUUUGAGGAUCCCAGGAGGAGUCUCAUCCCGAAUAAAUCUCUGGAUAAGUCGAACUCAGGAAUCAAAAAACAACGAAGGAGUCAAGGAUGUUCAGAGAACUGGGAACACCAUACAGGGGAGUUAAUUGGAAAACUGAUCUGAUGGUUUGUGAAGGAAAUCCAAGAUGUAACCAGACAUGCUACUCUCAGGAAAACUUGCCCCCAUUGAAACAAAAGGCAUGGAUCUCUUGGAAUUCUACUAUGUCCCUCAGUUUAUUGCUCUAUUCUUCUAUAGAACUGACCACCUGGCAAAGAUAUCUAUCAGCCAACAAUGCCUACAGUGCCUUUUAUUGAAUGGGGCUCUUGAUGACUUAAACGAUUUGAUGGAUAGGAAAACUGACCUAUGACAGAAAAACUAUAUUUCUAUAAUCCAUUUUUAUCUUUUUAUUGCUAUAUCAUCCAUCCUUGUCAUCCAAAAUUAAGUUGAGUCUUACAUUUUAUUAGCAAAUAUGAAAUACAUAUGGCUUCUUUACUGGAUCAUGUUUCAGCUAUGUUUCCACCACGAUGAAUACUUUAUAAGUUUGCACCAAGCAUUUGCAAUUGUUGCAUAAAUGUAGCUUUGCCUGUUCUUGCUGAUCUUAUUAUUAUCUAAUUAUGUUAUUUGAAUAAAAGAGGGAUGUUUUAAUGGGGAAACUAUGCU